Molecule: ribosomal RNA, 498 nt
Filed under: uncultured Glomeromycotina
Lineage: Eukaryota; Fungi; Glomeromycota
Description: partial small subunit ribosomal RNA
Rfam family: Eukaryotic small subunit ribosomal RNA
Source: RNAcentral
CCAAUAGCGUAUAUUAAAGUUGUUGCAGUUAAAAAGCUCGUAGUUGAAUUUUAGGCCUGGCCAGGCGGUCCGUCUUUGGCGAGUACUGUCUUGUUGUCGGGUCUUCCUUCUGGUGAACCAGUAUGUCCUUUAUUGGGUGUGUUGGGGAGCCAGGACCAUUACCUUGAAAAAAUUAGAGUGUUUAAAGCGGGCUAUUGCUUGAAUAGAUUAGCAUGGAAUAAUAGAAUAGGACGUUGUGGUUCUAUUUUGUUGGUUUCUAGGACCACCGUAAUGAUUAAUAGGGAUAGUUGGGGGCAUUAGUAUUCAAUUGUCAGAGGUGAAAUUCUUGGAUUUAUUGAAGACUAACUAUUGCGAAAGCAUUUGCCAAGGAUGUUUUCAUUAAUCAAGAACGAAAGUUAGGGGAUCGAAGACGAUCAGAUACCGUCGUAGUCUUAACCAUAAACUAUGCCGACUAGGAAUCGGGCGACGUUAUUCUCAUGACUCGCUCGGCGCCUUAUG